This 236-nucleotide long non-coding RNA is filed under the name Bos taurus (domestic cattle). RNAcentral describes it as "long non-coding RNA NONBTAT000488". The record is from RNAcentral. Lineage: Eukaryota; Metazoa; Chordata; Mammalia; Artiodactyla; Bovidae.
ACCAGAACAUCACAUAAGUUUAUUUCAGAUGUAACAGCAAUGUUAAAAUCAACAAGUUUAAAUCUUAACCGCACCAAGUAAACUUAGCUAUUUAAGUAUUUUUAAAGUUAUUCCCUCCAAAAAACUGAGGGAGCUUUUCUUUUCCACCCCACAUUCCACGGUUUCCCAAUAGUUAGUUCUAUUUUUGGAGGACUCCGAAUUGACAAGUAAACUGCUUUGGGGAUAUUUCAGAACUU